Molecule: ribosomal RNA, 783 nt
Filed under: fungal endophyte
Lineage: Eukaryota; Fungi
Description: eukaryotic LSU rRNA
Rfam family: Eukaryotic large subunit ribosomal RNA (bases 478-783)
Source: RNAcentral
CAUUACAGAGUUGAAAAACUCCAACCCCUGUGAACAUACCUUUACUGUUGCUUCGGCGGACGAUGGUCCCCCCCGGGGGGCCGGACGCCGCCGGAGGUUACAAACCCUGAAUUUUAGUGUAUCUCUGAGUACAAAACCAAAUAAUUAAAACUUUCAACAACGGAUCUCUUGGUUCUGGCAUCGAUGAAGAACGCAGCGAAAUGCGAUAAGUAAUGUGAAUUGCAGAAUUCAGUGAAUCAUCGAAUCUUUGAACGCACAUUGCGCCCGCCGGUAUUCCGGCGGGCAUGCCUGUCCGAGCGUCAUUUCACCACUCAAGCCCAGCUUGGUGUUGGGGCACCCGGCCGCCCGGCGGUCGGGGCCCCCAAGAACAUCGGCGGUCUCGCUAGGACCCUGAACGCAGUAACUCGCGGUAAAACGCGCUUCGUUCGGUGGCUUCCCGGCGGGCUCCAGCCGCUAAACCCCCUAAACUUUUUAGGUUGACCUCGGAUCAGGUAGGAAUACCCGCUGAACUUAAGCAUAUCAAUAAGCGGAGGAAAAGAAACCAACAGGGAUUGCCCUAGUAACGGCGAGUGAAGCGGCAACAGCUCAAAUUUGAAAUCUGGCCCCAGGCCCGAGUUGUAAUUUGCAGAGGAUGCUUUUGGCAAAGCGCUUACCGAGUCCCCUGGAACGGGGCGCCACAGAGGGUGAGAGCCCCGUAUGGUAGGACGCCGAGCCUCUGUAAAGCUCCUUCGACGAGUCGAGUAGUUUGGGAAUGCUGCUCUAAAUGGGAGGUAAAUUUCUUCU